Molecule: ribosomal RNA, 497 nt
Filed under: uncultured bacterium
Lineage: Bacteria
Description: partial 16S ribosomal RNA
Rfam family: Bacterial small subunit ribosomal RNA
Source: RNAcentral
GAUGAGCGCUGGCGGCGUGCCUAAUACAUGCGAGUCGAGCGAACAGACGAGGAGCUUGCUCCUCUGACGUUAGCGGCGGACGGGUGAGUAACACGUGGAUAACCUACCUAUAAGACUGGGAUAACUUCGGGAAACCGGAGCUAAUACCGGAUAAUAUAUUGAACCGCAUGGUUCAAUAGUGAAAGACGGUUUUGCUGUCACUUAUAGAUGGAUCCGCGCCGCAUUAGCUAGUUGGUAAGGUAACGGCUUACCAAGGCAACGAUGCGUAGCCGACCUGAGAGGGGGAUCGGCCACACUGGAACUGAGACACGGUCCAGACUCCUACGGGAGGCAGCAGUAGGGAAUCUUCCGCAAUGGGCGAAAGCCUGACGGAGCAACGCCGCGUGAAUGAUGAAGGUCUUCGGAUCGUAAAACUCUGUUAUUAGGGAAGAACAAAUGUGUAAGUAACUAUGCACGUCUUGACGGUACCUAAUCAGAAAGCCACGGCUAACUACGUG